CACCCUGAGUUCUAACUAGAGUUUAGUUGGAAAUGGAUUUGUUGUCGUGGUUUGCCAACCGUUGCAGUAUCCAAAACGCCCAGAAAAAGAGGUAGGGAAUCAGGAAGAGGGAAAGCCCUGAGGGGAAAUGGCCCCAUGGGCCCAGGAGAGCUGGCAAUGCUGAGGUCCUAUUCAAGGACAACCACCUCCCCCCCUUGAUAGUGUGGCCUUGCUGAUGCUGAGGGUUUGAGAACCAGGAAAGCCUGAUCUUUAUUGGUACUCCCAGAAUCUUCUCAAAUGGUGAUGUAAACCUGAGCAAGAAAGGCCAGGGAUGUAACCUGCCCCCUGCACGGCCAUGUCAUGGAUGUACCCAGAGCUAAUUAAAUCAGGAACCUAAUCUAAAGUCACUGGGCUUCUUUCCCACUCCUCCACCCCGAGUCUGUAGCCCACCUAAAAUACAGCUAGCCCCUACUCAUUUAUACUAAAACGAUCAAGUGUCAGUCCCUGCCUUAAGGAAGUCUCAAGCCUGUUAGUCACUGUUAACUGUCUCUGUGAGUCAUUCAUUCAUUCAUUCAUUCAUUCAGCAAAUAUUUAUCAUGUGCCUACCAUGUGUGCUUAUUGUAUAGGCUAGUCCCUCGGGAAACAGCAAUGAACAAAACAGCCAAAAUUUCCUUUUUUCCUGGUGUUUACAUUCUACUGGGUGGAAGAGGUCAUAAAUAAAUGCAUUAUUUUUUCAGAUGGUGAUAAAUGAUAUAAGAAACAUAAACAGAGUGAGGGGUAGAGAAAGUAAUAGGAAUGGAAUGGAUUUUUAUUUCCCUGCUAGUGGGAGGCCUCUCUAAUGAGAUGACACAUGAACAGAGAUAUGAGGAAGUGUGAGGUCCAUCUAGCAGGGCAGUUAACUGGGGGAAGAGUCCUGCAGGCAGAAGAAACAGUAAGUGCAAAGGCCCCUGGGCCAUCAUACUUGCCUUAUGGAGCCCAGUGAGCCAGGAGGAAAGUGAUGAGAAGCAAGCCUGGAGAGAUGUCAGGGCCACGGUGGGACUUUGGCUUUGACCAGAGGGAGUAAAACGGGAAACUCUGGAGAGUUUUGAGCACUGAGCGACAUAGUCUGAUUUUCAUUUUCAAAGGAUCACUUCAGUUGCUAUGUUAAGAAUAGACUGUAGGCGGCCAAGAGUGGAGCAGGGAAGCCAGUUAGGAGUUUAUUACAGCCAGGCGGGCAGAGGAGAGGGACAAUGACUCAGACCACCGUGGCAGAGAAGGAGCAGAGAAGCAGUGGCCACGUUCUAGAAAUAUUUUGGAGGUGGAGAUGAUGGGAUUUACUUAUAGACAAUAUGGAUAUGGGAAAAAAAAAAAAAGAGCGAGAGAGAGAAGAGACUGAGACAAUGCGAGGUUUCUGGCCAGAGCAACUGUGAAGAUGGAGUUGCCAUUUACAGGCACAAAGGCUUGGAGGAGAGCAGAUUUGGGGAAAAUCAAGAUUUUUAUUUCAGCCAAGUUUAAGACAUUCUUAAACAUCCAAGUGACGAGGUCAAGUAGGCAGUUUAAUAAACAGUGCCAUUUAUGUUGUGAAAAAUGGGAAUGGUGACGGGAUCCUUUUUGAGUUGCUGUGUUUUUAUUGUGGUUUUAAUUAACUUGCUUUCCUUGAAUAGCAAGAAGUGCUUGAGGCGUCAUGGAUAGUAAAUCUAAAAAUGAUCCCAGAUCGGCUGUUGUCUGCGGUGUGGUGUGUGGGAUGACGGAGUUUGUGCGCACGUUCGGGUCACGGCAGGGGCUGUGCCCACCCCCGCCCGCCGUCGGCAAUGGGAAUGACCGGCUGGAGUCCGCACCCACCCUUCUCCCACCCGCCACGGUGCGGAGAGGUUUGUCAGACCCUCUGUAGAACAGUGACAGGCUUGGAAGACAUAUUUAGUAAGUAUUAGCAGUUUUUACCCUUUUUAUCAUGAUUCGUGUGCUGGAGUGAGCUUGCUUGGCACUUCUAUAAUGGAGUACUUCAGUAUAAGAUGAGCACCCCCGAGAUGCUCAGGCCGGGAGGGGUGAAGCCUCCCUAGUUUGGCAGCUGUUAGCAGGGCGGUUGUGUAGGUAGGGGCAGGAGGGCGGAGAGGAGGGCUGUCGCCUGAGUGAUUUGUGAGCUGGGAAAGGAAAAAGUCCGGAUUUCCUUGGGAGCAUCACUGAUUUUUCAGGAGGCUCAAAUCAGUUCUCCUCUGAAAUUAAACGACUCUCUUGUGAACAGACAACAGUGAUUGACCCAUCGGACCUAAUACCGGAAUUUAAAGGUCCUCAUGAGCCUUACAAUAAAAUGGCAGCCAACAAAAUCUCUCCAAUUGACUUCUUUCCUGUAAUUUUAAAAGCGGAUUUCAGUGAAUUCAGCCCUUGGGUUGAAAUUACGGAGAUAAAUGGCUUGUAAGCAAAAAUGGCUGUGUGUCAAAAUGGGCAUAUAUAUCCCCUACAAUUUAUGCUAGGCAAAAACCACUUGACAUCCCCAUGAGCUGAUGUGUGGUUUGUGUUCUUUUAUCAUUUCUGCAGACAAAUGCAUUUUCUAAGUCUUCUAGAAAUGGAUGCUGUGUUCUCCAUGAGUAAUAACAGUGUCUCCCAUUUAUCAAGUGCUUGUGUGCCAAGCAUAGGGCUGAGCACUUUACCAGCCUGCCUCGAUUUACUUCUUCCCACUUUCAGGUUUUGUGUGAUCAUAUUUUUUUUCCUUUAGGUUUCAGCAUUGUCUUCUCAUUUACAAAAACACUGUUACAACUCUUUGUAACUCCAGCCUCUCUGAAAUUGUUUGUAUCUAAUGGGGAUCACUAGCUCCAUUUUCCAGACGCACAAACUGAACCUCAGCUGAGCUCAGCCAGUAGAAAGCAGAGAAGACUCAAACCUAGAUCCAAGCACAUGCUCUUUCUGCUGCUUCACACACAGCAGACUGAGACCUAUUCCUCACAGAGAAGGAGGGAGACAGUUUUUAAAUUCGAAUCCUUUGUGCGUCAAGGUUCUUGGGCCAGGCAUAGCGAGCAGGAUUGGCUAGAUAAAUAUAAAUAGACACAAGCAGAAGACUACUCAGGUUGCAUUUCACUCACCGUGCUGAAGGUAAUACAUGUUUGUCCGGGAGCAGACAAAUAACACUCAGUAAAAGUGGUUACAGAGAUGAGUUUGAUUUCGAAGUGGUGUUGGCCUUGAAAAGGUUUAAGGAAAAGGAGAAAGAUGACUGUAAGAUAAGGGUGAUUAUCUGUUCUCUCCCUUCAUUAAGGUGGCAUCCUGGGCAGUGUGGCGGUGAGACAAGUGGAGCAGGUCGUUGGGGAGCCGUGUUGCAUAGAUAAGGACAUCGUUCACCCCUGACUAUUUCCAAGACAUUUCUAACAGCUGUGUAAUAUUUCACAAGAACUUAACCUACUGAGUGCUUGCUCUGUCCAUGGGCAUACCAAUGGUUUUCAGUUCUCUGUUCCUGGACAUAGAGUGGCAGCAACCUCCUUGAACACAUGUCUUUACAGUUUUGUUUUUUCUUUUUUCCUCUUUCAUGAAUCAAGAAUCUUGAUAAUUAAAGCCCAUUUCCUCUUAACGAUGUUUGCCUGGCGAUUGGCAUUUAACUGAGA
This is a long non-coding RNA of Leopardus geoffroyi (Geoffroy's cat), 3548 nucleotides long. RefSeq lists it as uncharacterized. The transcript has 2 exons. The record is from RefSeq and is a predicted model, not a curated record. NCBI's taxonomy places the organism in Eukaryota, Metazoa, Chordata, Mammalia, Carnivora, Felidae.